UACAGAGGGGGCUAGCGUUGUUCGGAAUUACUGGGCGUAAAGGGCGCGUAGGCGGUGUGUCAAGUCAGGCGUGAAAGCCCCGGGCUCAACCUGGGAACGGCGCUUGAGACUGGCACGCUCGAGUUCGGGAGAGGAUGGUGGAAUUCCCAGUGUAGAGGUGAAAUUCGUAGAUAUUGGGAAGAACACCGAUGGCGAAGGCAGCCAUCUGGACCGACACUGACGCUGAGGCGCGAAAGCGUGGGGAGCAAACAGG
RNAcentral lists this ribosomal RNA (253 nucleotides) under uncultured bacterium. RNAcentral describes it as "partial 16S ribosomal RNA". It matches the Rfam family "Bacterial small subunit ribosomal RNA", at positions 524 to 776 of the family's 1533-position model. The record is from RNAcentral.